GACGAACGCUGGCGGCGUGCUUAACACAUGCAAGUCGAACGAAGUGGCGGACGGGUGAGUAAUACGUGGGUAACCUGCCCUCCUUUUUGGGAUCAGCCUUGGAAACGGGGUCUAAUACCGAUUAAUGGGGGAUGGGCGCGUGGCCUAUCAGCUUGUUGGUGGGGUGAUGGCCUACCAAGGCGGUGACGGGUAGCCGGCCUGAGAGGGUAAACGGGCACAUUGGGACGGAGAUACGGCCCAGAGUCCUACGGGAGGCGGCAGAGGGGGAUAUUGCACAAUGGGUGAAGGACUGAUGCAGCGACGCCGCAUAGGGGAUGAGGGCUUUCGGGUUGUAAACGUCUUGCGCAAGCGAACGGGUAGGUGGAGAAGAAGCACCGGCUAACUACGUGCCAGCAGCCGCGGUAAUAC
RNAcentral lists this ribosomal RNA (408 nucleotides) under uncultured bacterium. Its description in RNAcentral is "partial 16S ribosomal RNA". It matches the Rfam family "Bacterial small subunit ribosomal RNA", at positions 28 to 526 of the family's 1533-position model. The record is from RNAcentral.